AUGCACCGAAACCCUCGCGUCCUCCUCCGCGCCGCCGCCUAUCUCCUCCGCCCCACCGCCGCCGCUCGGCAACCCCUGACGAACGUCAGACCUCCCCUGCCGCUUUCUCCGCGGGGCCUCAUCCUCCCUGCACAACGCCGCGCCUUCUCGACUGACUACGGCAAGGACGUCGACGAGGUGAACCGCAAGUUCGCCGAAGCGCGGGAGGAGAUCGAGGCUGCCAUGGACAGCAAAGAGACGGUGUACUUCAACGAGGAGGCCGCCUGUGCGCGCGACGCCGCCGGUGAGGCCCUUGGCGCCUUCGACGCGCUGCUCGCGCGGGUCCCUCCCGCAGACGCCGACGCGCUCCGCCGGUCCAUGGGGCUCAAGAUGGAGCAGCUCAAGGCCGAGCUCAAGCAGCUCGAGGAGUAG
This 411-nucleotide ribosomal RNA is filed under the name Triticum aestivum (bread wheat). RNAcentral's name for it is "partial small subunit ribosomal RNA". The record is from RNAcentral. Lineage: Eukaryota; Viridiplantae; Streptophyta; Magnoliopsida; Poales; Poaceae.